RNAcentral lists this ribosomal RNA (391 nucleotides) under uncultured bacterium. Its description in RNAcentral is "bacterial SSU rRNA". It matches the Rfam family "Bacterial small subunit ribosomal RNA", at positions 505 to 898 of the family's 1533-position model. The record is from RNAcentral.
GUGUCAGCAGCCGCGGUAAUACGUAGGGGGCAAGCGUUAUCCGGAAUUACUGGGUGUAAAGGGUGAGUAGGCGGUUAAAUAAGCCAUAUGUGAAAUCUUAGAGCUCAACUUUAAGACUGCAUAAGGAACUGUAUAACUAGAGUGCAGGAGAGGUAAGUGGAAUUCCUAGUGUAGCGGUGAAAUGCGUAGAUAUUAGGAGGAACACCAGUGGCGAAGGCGACUUACUGGACUGAAACUGACGCUGAGUCACGAAAGCGUGGGGAGCAAACAGGAUUAGAUACCCUGGUAGUCCACGCUGUAAACGAUGAGUGCUAGGUGUUGGGUAGAGAUACUCGGUGCCGUAGCUAACGCAAUAAGCACUCCACCUGGGAAGUACGACCGCAAGGUUGAA